RNAcentral lists this ribosomal RNA (483 nucleotides) under uncultured bacterium. RNAcentral describes it as "partial 16S ribosomal RNA". It matches the Rfam family "Bacterial small subunit ribosomal RNA", at positions 28 to 507 of the family's 1533-position model. The record is from RNAcentral.
GACGAACGCUGGCGGCGUGCUUAACACAUGCAAGUCGAACGCUGAAGCUCAGCUUUUGUUGGGUGGAUGAGUGGCGAACGGGUGAGUAACACGUGAGUAACCUGCCCCCUUCUUUGGGAUAACGCCCGGAAACGGGUGCUAAUACUGGAUAUUCACUGGUCUUCGCAUGGGGGUUGGUGGAAAGGGUUUUUCUGGUGGGGGAUGGGCUCGCGGCCUACCAGCUUGUUGGUGGGGUGAUGGCCUACCAAGGCUUUGACGGGUAGCCGGCCUGAGAGGGUGACCGGUAACAUUGGGACUGAGAUACGGCCCAGACUCCUACGGGAGGCAGCAGUGGGGAAUAUUGCACAAUGGGCGCAAGCCUGAUGCAGCGACGCCGCGUGAGGGAUGGAGGCCUUCGGGUUGUGAACCUCUUUCGCUCAUGGUCAAGCCGCAACAAUGGUUGUGGUGAGGGUAGUGGGUAAAGAAGCGCCGGCUAACUACGUG